GAGCAGGGAGGAGCCCGUGCUGCGUGUGCAGGAAGUGGCCCACUCUGCUCCCUGCUAGGGACCUUAAAGGAGCCUGGGGAAGGGAAGCCUGCCAGCCCUUGUACAAAAUGACGUGGUAGUUGGUACAAGCUUGGGAGAGCUGGAAUUCUUACAACCCUGCAAAGUGAUGUUGGUGCCUUUUAACUGUUGGCUUGAUGCGCUCACCUUCCCAGGGUGCACCUGUCUCAUCCGGGGACCAAGGCGCCUGCUCAGAUCCCACCCCAUUUGUGAAAGAAGCUGGGGACGGGCGGAGGUUUCUCGUUUUGCCAUGGAUCACUCUUAAAGGGGCCCCUGGAGUCUCUGUCAACACAAAAUCAUGUCUACCAAGACAAUGGAGAAAGGAAAGCAGACAGCCCCAACUCCAAAAUGGUUAUACAGUAAUUCCCACUGAAUCUCUCCAAAUGUGUAUUUCAAAUUUGUUGACAGUUCUUUAAGUCCUAGUGUGUUUAUCUGACAAUCUACUUAGCACUAAAAGAUAACCAAAGAAAAAAGCUUCUAUUUCUACUUGCAAAGUGUUUAUUACAUGAAAAAAAA
Molecule: long non-coding RNA, 573 nt
Filed under: Oryctolagus cuniculus (rabbit)
Lineage: Eukaryota; Metazoa; Chordata; Mammalia; Lagomorpha; Leporidae
Description: lncRNA (ENSOCUG00000033397.1)
Source: RNAcentral